RNAcentral lists this ribosomal RNA (477 nucleotides) under uncultured bacterium. RNAcentral's name for it is "partial 16S ribosomal RNA". It matches the Rfam family "Bacterial small subunit ribosomal RNA", at positions 28 to 507 of the family's 1533-position model. The record is from RNAcentral.
GAUUAACGCUGGCGGCGUGCAUAACACAUGCAAGUCGAACGAUGAAACUUAACUGAUUUCUUCGGAAUGAUUUUAAGUGGAUUAGUGGCGGACGGGUGAGUAACGCGUGAGUAACCUGCCUUGGAGAAGGGGAUAGCCUUUGGAAACGAAGAAUAAUACCCUAUGAUAUGAUAAUAUCUCAUGAUAUUAUCAUCAAAGAUUUAUCGCUCUAAGAUGGACUUGCGUCUGAUUAGUUAGUUGGUGAGGUAACAGCUCACCAAGGCAGCGAUCAGUAGCCGGCUUGAGAGAGUGUACGGCCACAUUGGGACUGAGACACGGCCCAGACUCCUACGGGAGGCAGCAGUGGGGAAUUUUGCACACUGGGGGAAACCCUGAUGCAGCGACGCCGCGUGAUUUAGAAGGCCUUCGGGUUGUAAAAAUCUUUUGUAUGGGAAGAAAAUGACAGUACCAUACGAAUAAGGACCGGCUAAUUACGUG